UAGCUCAGUUGGCUAGAGCGCAACCUUGCCAAGGUUGAGGUCGCCGGUUCGAACCC
Molecule: transfer RNA, 56 nt
Filed under: Actinomycetota bacterium
Lineage: Bacteria; Bacillati; Actinomycetota
Description: Actinobacteria bacterium tRNA-Gly
Rfam family: tRNA
About the family: Transfer RNA (tRNA) molecules are approximately 80 nucleotides in length. Their secondary structure includes four short double-helical elements and three loops (D, anti-codon, and T loops).
Source: RNAcentral